CUUUCAGUGGAGAAUCGAGCGGCGCUUGUUGCUGGCGCGUCUUAAGCCGCAGGUUCCCGAAUCGUUGCGAAGAAAGCGGAAGUCCUCCUCUCCUAACGCGUCAAUAGGAGUCUCUCAGUUGGUCUCCAACAAGACACACCAAUGACCAGCAGCGUCUGUCUCCUUUUCCCCAAAGAGAUUCCGAGAACGUUUUCUUGGCUGUCGAAGCACUGGCACCCGAGAAAAAUGACCUUGUCUCUCUUGCGCGAAGCCAGUUUACGAGGCCGUACAGGUACGGUUCGGCGUUUCAUUGAUGAAGGCGCCUGAGAGGUCCGCGUCGUGCGUCGGCGCCGGUGGGAAUGCGACAACACUAAAGGGUCUACGUGACCUCAUUGAUGACGCAGAGUACCCGAGAAAGAUUUGAGUGGCGAGGCAAAGUUUCCCGAGCUCCCUGUUGCUCUCUGUGUAGCAAGUGCUUGAGCUGGAGACAAGUGAAGUUGUUGCUCUUCUCUUGAAGUCGGACGGGGGACGAAAGGGGCAAACGCUUUUGAAAAACCAC
Molecule: long non-coding RNA, 538 nt
Filed under: Toxoplasma gondii VEG
Lineage: Eukaryota; Apicomplexa; Conoidasida; Eucoccidiorida; Sarcocystidae
Source: RNAcentral